Molecule: ribosomal RNA, 481 nt
Filed under: uncultured soil bacterium
Lineage: Bacteria
Description: bacterial SSU rRNA
Rfam family: Bacterial small subunit ribosomal RNA
Source: RNAcentral
AGGACGAACGCUGGCGGCGUGCUUAACACAUGCAAGUCGAGCGGUAAGGCCUUUCGGGGUACACGAGCGGCGAACGGGUGAGUAACACGUGGGUGAUCUGCCCUGCACUCUGGGAUAAGCCUGGGAAACUGGGUCUAAUACCGGAUAUGACCUGCUCUCGCAUGGGGGGUGGGUGGAAAGAUUUAUCGGUGCAGGAUGGGCCCGCGGCCUAUCAGCUUGUUGGUGGGGUAAUGGCCUACCAAGGCGACGACGGGUAGCCGACCUGAGAGGGUGACCGGCCACACUGGGACUGAGACACGGCCCAGACUCCUACGGGAGGCAGCAGUGGGAAUAUUGCACAAUGGGCGAAAGCCUGAUGCAGCGACGCCGCGUGAGGAUGAAGGCCUUCGGGUUGUAAACCUCUUUCAGCAAGGGACGAAGCGACGAAGUGACGGUACCUGACAGAAGAAGCGACCGGCUAACUACGUGACCAGGCAGCCGC